AAGAUUGUUGCUGAUAGUCUCAGCCAGAUCAGCCGCUCAUCCACCUUCCUUCCAAACAUUGGUGUCCCUACAACGUCCAAGACUGGUCGGUCCACAUCGCUAGCUGCACAAGCACGCAUGCAAGCUCAGUUUGAGGAAAAACUCCAAGCUGAAAGAGAGGAAGCUGCUAGGAAGCAGGAAGAGUUGCAAGCACAACUACAAGCUCAACAGGCCGCACUUGAAGAAAACCAAAGUUUGCUGCGCCAGACCCAAGAGGAAGUGAAGGGGAUGCAUACCAAGUUUGAAGAGACCAAUGCACUGCUACGAGUUGUCCUGAAACUUCAGAAAGAUUGAGGUAGGGAUGCAUACCAAGUCUGAGGAUGAUGCCUUUGCUUAAGGUUUUUCUACCUUGCUAGAACAUAUCUGUGGUUAGAACUUUGUCAGAACUACGUGCAAUCUGUUUGAAUGCUUCAAACCUUUGUGGUGAAACUUUUGUAUGUUUGAACCCACAACAAUCUGUUUGAAUGCUUCAAACCUUUAUGGUGGAACUUUUGUAUGUUUGAACCUCUGUUGUGGAAGAACUAGUGUGCUGGAAUUGUGUAUGACUUGUGAUAAGAAUGUUGUGUAUGAUGGCUUUUCUGUGUAUUAUGAUUCUGUGUCGUCACUGUAUGUGGGUGUCAUAUUAAAAUAAACAAAACCAAGCUGUCACAUUAUCCACAGACUAAUAUAUGAUGGUCCUGGAUCGUAACAAAACUGCGACAGAUAACACCGCCAUAAGUGACGAUCCCAACAUUAGUUGACGCGUUGACUGGAAAAAAUGUGACAAAUAACACCGUCAUAUAUAGCAGCAAUAUGUGAUGGACUAACGUAGCCGUCACAAAAGGUAAUGACAUUAUGUGACGGUACUCUAAAAAGUUGUCACAAGGUACAUAAUGUGACGGUCGUUAUAUGACGACCCUUAUGACGCAGCAUUUUCGUCAUAAGAUGAUUUUUAUGACCAAUUUUGUACUAAACAUGACACUUUACUUUUGUCAUACAAAACCAUUUUUUGUAGUGUAAACACACUUUUCGAAUCACUUGCAGAUACACACUCUUCGAUGGAUUCAUUGACUUAUCGGUGGUGAGAGCUUAGAGGAUGGAUUCAUCGUCACGUAGCUCGUGCUCUCAUUGACCGAACGAGAAGAAGUUAGAGAUUAUGAGGUUGAGUGAGGAUAUGAGAUAGGAACGGGAAUUUAUGCAGGCUUGCAUCCAACAUAACCAAGCGAUGUACCAAGUAAGUAUAGAUGAUGAGAACUCUAAAUUCGUAUAUUUCAAUACAACAUCUUCAAUAGUAACACAUAUGUUCAAUAGUCAAUGCAGUAAUAGGGCAUGACACUAACACACAUUCCAUUGCCGCCACAAUUGAGCCAGUUUGCAUCCACACCAGCUCAAGUACGUUAACCUUAGCAAAUUCUCUUAUAACAUUCUCUAACCUAGCAUUUCAUCUAGUUUAUAUAGUAGCACAACAUGAACCGUAUCUAAACUUAGUCAAAUAUCCAUUAAAUAGGGUCUGGGGACUCAAUAGUUCAACACCCCACACACAUAUACCGACACCUAGAGGUAGGGUGUUUUAUAACUCUCGGUGAUUUUGUACAUUUGUAUACUCCACUUGUUGAUAUUUGCAUUUAACUUGUUGACAUUUACAUUCUUACAUAGGCUACGCCUGGACCGGGAGGGAGUGGAUAUGAACCCACAGGAAUUGAAUUUGUUGAGUCCCCCUUCCUGUACCCUCCUCCUGGUGGUGGCAACGGCCAAAGCUCAAACCAUCCAAGUGGUAGUUAUCUUUGAGUAUGUUACUUUUGGUCGUCUUUGUUUCUUAACUUGUGGACGAUGUCCCUGAGUAGCUUAAAUCAAACUGUGUUGGUCUUAUGUUUGAAACUUUGAAUAGUAGGUGUCUUUGUGAACGGAACACUUAACUUUUCUCGUUGUUGUGAUUUGAAAUGGUUAUGUGAGCUGAGUUGAUGAUGUAUGAAUUGAUUAUAUGGUUGCAAUGUGAAGUUUUAUGGACUAUGUGAAUGGUUGUGUUGGUAAUGUGACUCAUAUUGAUGUAUAUGACUUUUGUGAUGAUAUGUAUUUUAUGUGUGUUGUUGUGUAUAAAAGUGUAAAGAAUUUGAGCCUAAUUAGGUGUUGGUUUGUAGCAAGAGAGAAUAAUCCCCGUCGGUUUGACCAUAGUCAACGUGGAUUAUCCCCAUUAAUUCCCAUUGGCCAGGGCAGGGCUGACCGAGAUAAGUCUAUUUAAUUCUCGUCGGUCCGUCCCUGGCCAACAUGGUUUAGCCUCAUUAAUUUCCAUUGACCCUGACUUGGCCGAUGGGGAUAAGCUCAUUUAAUUCCCGUCGGCCCAUCCCUGGCCAACGAGAAUUACUGUGUUCGCCACGGUAGAUCCAACAAUUAGGAUAAUACCAGCAGUCGGCUACAUUAAGCCGAUGGGAAUUAAUUAAUUAUCAUCCAGAAAAUCCCGUCGGCCAGGUCCCAUCGGGAAUUAACCUAAAACUGACAGGAAUUAGACCGACGGGAAUUAGUAAUUUUCGUUGGUCAGAAUUAGUCAGGAAUUACUAAUUCCUGUCAGAACCUGGCCGACGGGAGUUAACUGGAUUCCUGUAGUGGUAUACAUGCCGUCUCUACUAGAAUAGACUAUGUCAUUAUUAAAUAUACAUUACCCCUCAUGUUGUCAUUAUGCAUAUGCUUUAAAUUGUUCGAUUGGUAUCUAUAGAAAAUAUUUUAUCAUUUAAAUAUGUAUAGAAAAAGGGGAGUCUAGUCUAUUCACCAUGUUUUGGGUUCCUCUUCUAGUUUUUAACUUAAUGUUUUCCAAAGGGAGAGAUUUUUCCAACGGGGAGAGUAUACCUUUUCACAUUAGGGGAGAUUACUUUGCCAAAUAGGGAGAACUUUUUCUAAAGGAGAAAAUCUUUUUGAGGCUCAAAAAUGCUUUUGCUACCUCCUAUAUGCUUUAACAUGUAUUAAUUUUCGGUGUUUGAUUCCAAGGGGGGAAAUUUGUGAACCAAAGCAAACUAAAGUUUAUCAAAUACCAAAACCAAUUUUUUAAAAUUUUCUGCUCUUUCAAUUGGUUAUUUAUGUUAGUAUCGGUCCAAAAUAAGAGGUAUGUGGAUUAUGGAGUUAGGGGAUGCUUAAGUCCAUAAUCACACAUUAUGAGGAUUGUUUGCAUAUGCAAGAAUAUUGAUCAAAUUCUAAAUGACAACAUAUCUUUCAAUUUGGUCUAUCAUACUCCUUGCUUAUGCACAUGCAUCUAUAGCAAGUAGAAUGCAUAUUUUAUUUUGGUAUUUAAUAUUUGAUUGCUUUGGUUUUGUUGUCAUCACUCACCAAAAAUGGGGAGAUUGUAAGGAAAAUGAACCUCAAUCCAUUUAACUAAUUUAUUUCAAUGUUUGAUGAUAAACAUAACUUGUGGACUAAUGUGUUUGCAAGUGUUUAUGUUUGUAGUUCACAUGAUGUGAAGUAGACUUGGACUGAGGCAUUGAGGAAGCAACACUACAAAGAAGACACUAGAAGACCCAUAAAAGACCUUCAAGUAUCAAGCAUAUGUCCAAGACAAAAGACUAGAAGAGCCCAAGCAAAUAAGAUUGAAGAAUGAAGAAGUGAGUUGCUUCUGGGUGCACUAGACCGAUUGUGCAAAGAUCACUUUUCUAGGCACUCGGCCAGCUGGCACACCAGACCUUGCGGGCGGUGCACCAUACCUUGGUCAACGAUUGACAACAGGCAGUUCCAACGGUCAUCUAGUCAUCGGACUGGGCGAUGGUGCACCGGACCUCUUGGGGACUACUGGAGGCAAACGACUAGCUGAUGUGGAGGGCACCGGACUAGUCCAGCGCAACGCAGAAAAAUGCUUUCCUCCAACGGCUACUUUGGGGUUAGGGCUCUAUAUACCCCCCAACCUGGCAUUUGAGAGUGUGAGAUCCCAAUCAACAUUGUAAUAGGGUUGAGACAUAUUUUUAUAGCUCCAAACACCCAAGUGCUUAAUAGAAUCCUCAACGCUUGCUCUAAGUUUGUUCACAGUAGAUUGAGUGAGGUUAGAACAACCCACAAACCCUUUGGCUCUUGCGCGAGCCAUUGUAAUUUGUACCGAGACGGACCACACCAAUCGUGUUUGUAGUGUGGCCGCCACCAUGUACCGGAGGGAACAAGGCCCAUGGCCUUUUGUCUAGAAACUUGAUAAUGAAGACGGCGGGGAGCAUCUGAGAGGAGACCGGAAGCAGAGCACCACUUACACAUGGAGAAGUCAUGUGGCUCUCUAUGGAGUUACUUGACCGGGUGCUUGGCCCUCGCGUGGACUUCCCAUUGCGUAGGGACACCAAUGAGGAUUAGUUAGAACCUUGCACGGUUCUAGAUACAUCCGUAAAAAUAUUGGUGCGUCAAUGAGAGUUUGCAUCUCUAUCGGUCUCUUUAAGCUUCCGUAUUUAUUGCAUACUUAAGUUGUGAUCUUUACCAUUCCUAGUUUAGAAUAUGGGGUAGUUGGUAGGAUUGGAACUUAGGUUGCUAAAUUUCUUUUGCGGUGGAGAUAGCAACACUUAGACAAAACUAUAGUGCACAUUCGUGUUAAGUUAUUUGCAUAGGUUUUGUUUAAGAGAACUUUUAUUGACCUAGUUUAGAGUGCAAAAAUAGAAUUCCUAAUUCACCCCCCCCCCCUCUUAGGUGUCCGCGUUCCUUUUAGGUACAAUUUGGUAUUGUAACCCUAACUAUAGUUGUGUGACUUGUGUCCCAUGUUCCCAAUACCUUAGUGAUAUUGUACCCUAGCAUAACAAGGCUUUCAAAGAUAACCACCACUACUUAUAUUCUCGGCAUCACUCACAUUGUCCCAUUUUUCUGCCUAGAUGUUUUCUCCUCUCUUUUCUUUGUUAUUGUAAGAAUGCUUGCCCUAGACAUCAUGUUUGGAAAUGGCAACUUCAACUAUAUGAUGUUUGUUUCAGCUUUAUUCCAACUUCUAGCCACCAAAAGCUAUUGUUGUGGACUGCCAAACGCUUAGCUUUUUAACCCAUUUUUGUGAGAAUUGCUUUGGUGAAAACCAUCCAAAAUCAACGUGAACACUUAAUCGGUCGAGCCAUCGUGAUAGUAGAAAUCUACCACUUUCUAGAUCAUAGAUCCUAUGGACCCUUCAUCUUCCUCCGCGUGUAAUGCCCAUGAUACUCAGAUUCUUCCACAUGCCACAACCAGAUUCUCAAAAAAGCUCGUCAGAAAAAGAUAAAACAAAAGGCCUACAUCGUGCUAGUUGCUCAUUCUCUAACCACGAACAUCCCUACCCAACAUGUGGCCUCCCCAAUCAUGACUAUUUUGAUGCUAGAGAUCUCCCUAGCCAUCCAUAAACUAGAGGCAACAAAUAAAUCCCCUUGCUAAUCCUAAAACUUAGAUCUUGUUUGGAUGCAAAUAUUGAGUUUUAGAAAAGUACAAUGGUUUUAUAAAAUAGUUCUAGAGUGCCAUGGAGUGUUCAGGUGCAACAAGCUUAUAGUUUUUGAAAACCAUUUUAUUGCUAAAUGUUUUUAGGGUUUUUAAAACUCCACCAUUUAGGUGUAGGAUCAUACACCAUAGACAUAUAUAGUCGAUGAUAGUGAAGCAGAAAAAAAAUGAUAAAAGCACUAGGCUUUCAAAUUAUAUAGCUAUAGUUGGCUUUGAAAUUCAAUAGCAAUAGUUGGCUUCGCUCCCACUACGAUUGAGUGAGGAACGUUAGUAGUACAAAUACGUAUAAUUAGAUAUAAUUGAUAUGUGUACAAACUCUAGAUAUGAAGUUAUAAUCUUAGCUAGAGAUAUAAUAUAAUUAUGACCGGUGCAAAACAAACUUGUCUUAUACUCUAGCUAUAUAUAUAUAUACACACAUAAUUUGAAUAUUGAUAUGCAAAACAAGCAACAAAUGAUUAUUGUUCACAUGCAUGAUUAUUCAAUUUUAAAUAAAAGAGGGUUUUAGUCUAUCCAAUCUCCUCUAUUUCCUGGCUCUCAAAUAAGCCCUAAACUCCUCACAAUUAUUCUAGCUACAAUUCCCCGCGCAGUAGGUUCCAUCAUCUCUAACCCAACUUUAGCAUUUGCUUCAGUCCUCGGAUGAAGUAGAGAAACCAGCAAAUAGCUAGUUGUUAGCUGUGUUAUCCGCUAAGAGACACCAGCAAAUCAGCAAACAUCACCUUAGAAUAGUAAGAGAAUUUUAAUCUCUUCAAUCCCCUAACUUUUCCUUGCUCUCCCAAACAUUGUUCUUAAGCUGAUUUACUAGGUUUAGGGUUUCAGGUUGUCCGCUGAUUUUUAGCGGCUACUAUAUUGAUUUACUAGGAGUCUAGGACGAAGGAUGCGCCGACAGACGCGCUAGCUAGCUCUCACCUCGCUCGUCGGCGUGCGUGGGUAAAAACCCGCUGAGUAUUACUUGCCCAAACCCAUACUCGCGAAGAAAAAACACGCCCGCUAAAAAACUCAUAUCCAUGACAGGUAUAAAAUUUUGUCCAAACUCAUACCCAUGCGGGUUUCGGGUACCCAACGGAUUUCCCAUACCUACUAACAUCAACAUAAAAAUAAUUCAUCAUGUAAAUGACAAUCUAUACAUUAAUAAGCUAAGAUAAAAGAAACAAGUGAUAACUAAUUUUAGCUUAAAAUUUGUUACAUGAAGUUUAUUUUAAUUAAAAAAUAUUUAAUUAAUAAUAUUACGAUACAUAUUUAUAAGGAAUGUUAAUUUUAAGGCGAGUUUUAAAAAUCCAUGGGUUUGCGGGUAUGAGUAGUGGAAGAACAAACUCAUGCUCACGUACCCGUUGGGUUUCCAUUUGAACCCAUUAACAAACUCAGGCAUUGUUCGGUUAAUCCCGUUAUCUAUGGAUUGAACGGGAUUGAAAAAAAUUGUGAAGAAAUUUGACUUGCUUGGGAUUUAAACCCACCCAAUUCCACUCAAUCCACAUGGAUUGAGAGCUAACCGAACAAGCCCUCAUAGGUAAAGAAAUUGACUCAAACUCAUACCCUAAUAGAUCAAAAACUCACCGGGUUUCGAGCAGCCAUUGCCAUCUCUAGGCCGCGUGCGUGAGUGGCGGCGUGUUACUCCACCGCGGCGCCGCACUCGGCUGCAUGCCCCCGAACUCGAUGCCACCCUUGCCGUACCCGGCCCAUCCGAUUGGUUCGUACACAGCAUUUGCCAGUUUGCCAACGCCAGCUAUGCCUGCGCGCAUGAGAAUAACACCGGCGCCGGCGGUUUCGCAGCCACACCACCAUCAUGCAUUGCGCUUUGCGCCACCACAGCGCUCAGUUUUCGCCCGCAUCCGGCGGCGGCGUGCGUGUGCGUCCGUGAGCCGUGGUGGGCCGGCUUGGGGCGUG
This 7299-nucleotide long non-coding RNA is filed under the name Zea mays. RNAcentral's name for it is "long non-coding RNA (ZMAY_LNC005505)". Lineage: Eukaryota; Viridiplantae; Streptophyta; Magnoliopsida; Poales; Poaceae. The record is from RNAcentral.